GACUUCCUUCGGGGUGGGGUGGAAUUCCCUACCGGCGGUGAUGGCGUGAGCCUCAGCCCGCGAAGCCCGCGCAAAUUGCACCACGCGCAGGCCCGAUCUGGUGGGAAUCCAGAGCCGACGGUCAGAGUCCGGAUGAGAGAAGGAGGAA
This 148-nucleotide non-coding RNA is filed under the name Deinococcus soli (ex Cha et al. 2016). RNAcentral's name for it is "Deinococcus soli FMN sequence". It matches the Rfam family "FMN riboswitch aptamer (RFN element)". From Rfam's summary of the family: The RFN element is a highly conserved domain that is found frequently in the 5'-untranslated regions of prokaryotic mRNAs that encode for flavin mononucleotide (FMN) biosynthesis and transport proteins. This element is a metabolite-dependent riboswitch that directly binds FMN in the absence of proteins. In Bacillus subtilis, the riboswitch most likely controls gene expression by causing premature transcription termination within the 5' untranslated region of the ribDEAHT operon and precluding access to the ribosome-binding site of ypaA mRNA. The record is from Rfam by way of RNAcentral. Lineage: Bacteria; Thermotogati; Deinococcota; Deinococci; Deinococcales; Deinococcaceae.